This 408-nucleotide ribosomal RNA is filed under the name uncultured bacterium. RNAcentral describes it as "bacterial SSU rRNA". It matches the Rfam family "Bacterial small subunit ribosomal RNA", at positions 28 to 419 of the family's 1533-position model. The record is from RNAcentral.
GAUGAACGCUGGCGGCGUGCCUAACACAUGCAAGUCGAACGGAGUUAUGCAGAGGAAGUUUUCGGAUGGAAUCGGCGUAACUUAGUGGCGGACGGGUGAGUAACGCGUGGGAAACCUGCCCUGUACCGGGGGAUAACACUUAGAAAUAGGUGCUAAUACCGCAUAAGCGCACAGCUUCACAUGAGGCAGUGUGAAAAACUCCGGUGGUACAGGAUGGUCCCGCGUCUGAUUAGGUAGUUGGCGGGGUAACGGCCCACCAAGCCGACGAUCAGUAGCCGACCUGAGAGGGUGACCGGCCACAUUGGGACUGAGACACGGCCCAGACUCCUACGGGAGGCAGCAGUGGGGAAUAUUGCACAAUGGGGGAAACCCUGAUGCAGCGACGCCGCGUGAAGGAUGAAGUAUUUC